GACGAACGCUGGCGGCGUGCUUAACACAUGCAAGUCGAGCGGUAAGGCCCUUUCGGGGGUACACGAGCGGCGAACGGGUGAGUAACACGUGGGUGACCUGCCCUCAGCUCUGGGAUAAGCCUGGGAAACUGGGUCUAAUACUGGAUAUGACUCCACGGUGCAUGUCGUGGGGUGGAAAGCCUUGUGCGGCUGAGGAUGGGCCCGCGGCCUAUCAGCUUGUUGGUGGGGNGAUGGCCUACCAAGGCGACGACGGGUAGCCGGCCUGAGAGGGCGACCGGCCACACUGGGACUGAGGCACGGCCCAGACUCCUACGGGAGGCAGCAGUGGGGAAUCUUGCGCAAAUGGGCGAAAAGCCUGACGCAGCGACGCCGCGUGA
RNAcentral lists this ribosomal RNA (377 nucleotides) under uncultured bacterium. RNAcentral's name for it is "bacterial SSU rRNA". It matches the Rfam family "Bacterial small subunit ribosomal RNA", at positions 28 to 404 of the family's 1533-position model. The record is from RNAcentral.